GCUCCGUGCCUAUACCCGGCCGCCGGAAGGCAUWGGCGUGAGCCGCUCUUCUGGGGCGGCGAGCGCGCGAAGCCCCGGCGAGUAGGAGGGCGCGGCGGUGAGCGCGGAAGGGUCUGGGCGCGAGCCUGCCUGGAGCCGCCGCCGGUGCAGAUCUUGGUGGUAGUAGCAAAUACUCAAGCGAGGGCCUUGAGGGCUGAUGUGGAGAAGGGUUUCGUGUGAACAGCCGUUGCACACGAGUCAGUCGAUCCUAAGCCCUAGGAGAAAUCCGAUGUCGAUGCGGGGGGUUUCAUUUGCUGUGCUCCCCCUCGAUGGGCGAAAGGGAAUCCGGUUCCUAUUCCGGAACCCGGCAGCGGAACCGAAUCUACGGGCCCUCGUCAGAGAAGCUCGUCGGGGUAACCCAAAGGGACCCGGAGACGCCGUCGGGAGACCCGGGCAGAGUUUUCUGUUCUGCAUAAGCGUUCGAGUUCCCUGGAAUCCUCUAGCAGGGAGAUAGGGUUUGGAACGCGAAGAGCACCGCAGUUGCGGCGGUGUCCGGGUCGUCCCCUCGGACCUUGAAAAUCCGGGAGAGGGUCACGCGGAGGUGUCGCGCCGGCUCGUACCCAUAUCCGCAGC
This 612-nucleotide ribosomal RNA is filed under the name Acromantis moultoni. Its description in RNAcentral is "eukaryotic LSU rRNA". It matches the Rfam family "Eukaryotic large subunit ribosomal RNA", at positions 1333 to 1861 of the family's 3401-position model. The record is from RNAcentral. Lineage: Eukaryota; Metazoa; Arthropoda; Insecta; Mantodea; Hymenopodidae.